Molecule: ribosomal RNA, 253 nt
Filed under: uncultured bacterium
Lineage: Bacteria
Description: partial 16S ribosomal RNA
Rfam family: Bacterial small subunit ribosomal RNA
Source: RNAcentral
UACGGAGGGUGCGAGCGUUGUCCGGAAUCACUGGGCGUAAAGGGCGCGUAGGUGGCUUCUCAAGCGCGCGGUGAAAGCCCGGGGCUCAACCUGGGAACAGCGCUUGAGACUGGCACGCUCGAGUUCGGGAGAGGAUGGUGGAAUUCCCAGUGUAGAGGUGAAAUUCGUAGAUAUUGGGAAGAACACCGAUGGCGAAGGCAGCCAUCUGGACCGACACUGACGCUGAGGCGCGAAAGCGUGGGGAGCAAACAGG